This 506-nucleotide ribosomal RNA is filed under the name uncultured bacterium. RNAcentral describes it as "partial 16S ribosomal RNA". It matches the Rfam family "Bacterial small subunit ribosomal RNA", at positions 28 to 523 of the family's 1533-position model. The record is from RNAcentral.
GAUGAACGCUAGCUACAGGCUUAACACAUGCAAGUCGAGGGGUAACGAGAGGAAAGCUUGCUUUCCUUGUCGACGACCGGCGCACGGGUGAGUAACGCGUAUCCAACCUGCCCCCAACUAGGGAAUAACCUUGCGAAAGUAAGACUAAUACCCUAUAAUUUCCUCAGAUGACAUCUGACGAGGAAUAAAGAUUUAUCGGUUGUGGAUGGGGAUGCGUCUGAUUAGCUUGUUGGCGGGGUAACGGCCCACCAAGGCAACGAUCAGGAGGGGUUCUGAGAGGAAGAUCCCCCACAUUGGAACUGAGACACGGUCCAAACUCCUACGGGAGGCAGCAGUGAGGAAUAUUGGUCAAUGGGCGGAAGCCUGAACCAGCCAAGUAGCGUGCAGGAUGACGGCCCUAUGGGUUGUAAACUGCUUUUAUACAGGAAUAAAGUUAGCCACGUGUGGUUAUUUGUAGGUACUGUAUGAAUAAGGACCGGCUAAUUCCGUGCCAGCCGCCGCAGUAA